This 447-nucleotide ribosomal RNA is filed under the name uncultured Streptococcus sp. RNAcentral describes it as "bacterial SSU rRNA". It matches the Rfam family "Bacterial small subunit ribosomal RNA", at positions 933 to 1382 of the family's 1533-position model. The record is from RNAcentral. Lineage: Bacteria; Bacillati; Bacillota; Bacilli; Lactobacillales; Streptococcaceae.
UGGAGCAUGUGGUUUAAUUCGAAGCAACGCGAAGAACCUUACCAGGUCUUGACAUCCCGAUGCUAUUUCUAGAGAUAGAAAGUUACUUCGGUACAUCGGUGACAGGUGGUGCAUGGUUGUCGUCAGCUCGUGUCGUGAGAUGUUGGGUUAAGUCCCGCAACGAGCGCAACCCCUAUUGUUAGUUGCCAUCAUUCAGUUGGGCACUCUAGCGAGACUGCCGGUAAUAAACCGGAGGAAGGUGGGAUGACGUCAAAUCAUCAUGCCCCUUAUGACCUGGGCUACACACGUGCCACAAUGGUUGGUACAACGAGUUGCGAGUCGGUGACGGCGAGCUAAUCUCUUAAAGCCAAUCUCAGUUCGGAUUGCAGGCUGCAACUCGCCUACAUGAAGUCGGAAUCGCUAGUAAUCGCGGAUCAGCACGCCGCGGUCGAAUACGUUCCGGGCCUU